GCCUACCCAUCGAAGCCACCGCAUACCACGCCGCAAGUCGCCUCAUGCCGCCACCGCUCGCCCCUUUCUCUGUAUAUAGGUCGCCAACGCAACCCUGGGCCCCAGGAUCGUUCCCUCCUCCCAACCAGGCUCGAGGAGGCGGCCAUGAGGAGCGCGCAGCCGCCGCAAUCCUGGGCAGAUCUAGCCGGGGUCGUCGGCAGCCAUCCCUCCCUCCGGGCGGCCAUGAAGAAUUGAAGCGGCUUGCGCAGAACUAGCGCAUGGAUCAUGCGCGCCUCCCGCGCUAGGAGCCACCGGUCCUCGUCAUCCGCUAGCAUCCACGAGGAAUCGAUCCAUAUGGCCGUUGACGAGGAUGUGAGGUGGGCGACUGCACAGGGCCCCCAAAAAUUAGGGGGCUUCAAAUCCUGUAUAUGUGUUCUUCAUCGCCAUGGAUCUGAGAGUGCCCAAACUGCUUGUUUUUGUUGGAGAAGAGAGAACAUGAAGAAGAGGGACCUAGGUCGUGGGCCCCUUUGGCGAAGGGGUAAGUGCCUACUGCAGGUCUGGUUCAACCAGCUGUACUUGUGCGAUUCAGCCACUUCUUCAAGGAGCCACAAAAAACCAGUCAGUACACCUGAUCGAAAUACGAGAGGGGAAAGCCCUAGAUGGACGACGUGGUCAUGGCUGACGGCCGCACCCAUACGAGCGGCAUCCUUGGUUCCUCUGUGUGUCCUAGGGCGGUGAGGCCCAUGAUCUCGUCCAUGGAGCACUGUAGCAUCAUUGUUGUGCCUCUGCUAUCAUCCGUCGCCAGAACAAGCAGGCAUGUACGUUUCCCUUGCCUGACGCAUUCCCAUAGUCAAUGUGAGUAUUUUGUUCAUAUUGACAUCACCACAUGGCUAUUUCUAAUUUCCAUGUUCCUCUUUUGUAUGAUUGGGAAUUCCUUCUGUCAUGUUUAUUUGUUGCCCAUCUCAUGGCUGGAAUCGUUCCUAAUUAGAGGCUCUUUUCUUGAGUUGGUCAGUACUAGAAGGCACUAACAUGCUAAUUGAGACAAGCAUGGAAAAUAACUUGUAUAGUCAAUGCUGUACUAGACCACUACAUUAGAACAGAUGCAUUAUUUUAGUUUAAUUUCCAAUACAACUUGCCCCAAACAGCUACUCCUAGUUAGAUUUGGAGUAUAUAUGCAGAGUUAGAUUUGAAUGAAACUAGCUACUUCUGUCAAUGUCAGAACUUUAAGUUUUAGGUAUAUAUGUUAUUCCUAAUAUGCUUGCUUCCCCUUAUAAUUUCAGUCAUUUUGGCUACUUAGAUGUUGGUUUAAUUUGAUUAUGUGGCAUGUAGUUCAUUUGUUGUUAGCCACAGUCCAGGGGCCUCAAUUUUCUGGAGAUCGCCUGGGUUCUUUGCAGGGUUCUGAUGAUAUUUCCAAGGAAAUAUACUGAUCCUGAUGUGAAAAAACUGCCCAUUUUUCCCUUUCUUAAACAUUUUUACUCUGUUUUUUGUUCUUCCUAGUUCCAGCUUCACAUUGCUGGUGUUUCAUGCCAUAUUCAUCAGAUCCUGCUUACAUGCCUUGUGAUUAACUUGAUUAGUAUUUCUGUGCCACUGUCCAACUGGUUCUUAAAGGUACUAAAUCCAGAUUGAAGAGCAAACUCUAUUUGCAGGUGCCAACGAAGAGGAUUGACAAAUAAGAUAGUAGUCCAAACUUGCAAAAUACCUUUUUCAGAGAUCUAGUCCUAACAAGACUCCAGGUGCAAGGCUAACUGUUAUUUCUUCAAGUGCGCUCUAAUUGUUAUUUCUUCAAGUGCGCUCAUACAAGCUGAACAAGGAAUUCUCAAAUGUUUAAAGCAAUGGAAAGUCACGACCUUGCUUUCUCUUAAUGUUCACCUGCAUUUUAUAUGUAUGACCUUCAUAAUUAGCUAGCUGCUUCUUCUCUUUCACAAUGUGUUGUUGCUGCAUCGAGUCACAACUUUGAAAAAACGAAUAUGUGCUAGCUAGGGACAUGAACUUAACCGAAACUCCCGAUUGAGUCACAACUUAAAUCAACAGUUGAUGCUUUUAGUACAUGUACUUGUGCUUAUGCUUUAGACAUUUACACUUGUAAAACUGUUCUGAUCCCUCAGUUACAUGCUUGUUGACACAAAUAGUUUGGUGAUAGUUAUUUUUAACAAGGGCUGGAAUAAUUGUAUGAUGUAUGUUAUGUUGGACUUAUUAACUAGAACUAUUUUUUUGAUUUCUUGAUUGCAGGAUCCAAAGAUCUAGCUCGACUGGACAGUUAGUCUUGGCCUUAAUUAGGAUGGCCAAAUUACAUUUGAGUAUCAUUUGAUGGAUAUUUGCUAUGAGAAUUAUGAAUUUUAUGAAUCUAUAUAUUAUACGUAUGGUUUUGAAUAUUGUAAUUGAAUGCAUGUAUUUUUUU
Triticum aestivum (bread wheat) is the source of this 2377-nucleotide long non-coding RNA. RefSeq lists it as uncharacterized. The transcript has 2 exons. The record is from RefSeq and is a predicted model, not a curated record. Lineage: Eukaryota; Viridiplantae; Streptophyta; Magnoliopsida; Poales; Poaceae.